Molecule: ribosomal RNA, 254 nt
Filed under: uncultured bacterium
Lineage: Bacteria
Description: partial 16S ribosomal RNA
Rfam family: Bacterial small subunit ribosomal RNA
Source: RNAcentral
UACGGGGGGGAGCAAGCGUUGUUCGGAUUUACUGGGCGUAAAGGGCGCGUAGGCGGCCACCGCAAGUCGGUUGUGAAUCUCCGGGCUUAACCCGGAAAGGUCAAUCGAUACUGCGGGGCUAGAGUACAGAAGGGGCAACUGGAAUUCUCGGUGUAGCGGUGAAAUGCGUAGAUAUCGAGAGGAACACCUGCGGCGAAGGCGGGUUGCUGGGCUGAUACUGACGCUGAGGCGCGAAAGCCAGGGGAGCAAACGGG